ACGGAGGGAGCUAGCGUUGUUCGGAAUUACUGGGCGUAAAGCGUACGUAGGCGGCUAUUCAAGUCAGAGGUGAAAGCCCGGGGCUCAACCCCGGAACUGCCUUUGAAACUAGAUAGCUAGAAUCUUGGAGAGGUUAGUGGAAUUCCGAGUGUAGAGGUGAAAUUCGUAGAUAUUCGGAAGAACACCAGUGGCGAAGGCGACUAACUGGACAAGCAUUGACGCUGAGGUACGAAAGCGUGGGGAGCAAACAGGAUUAGAUACCCUGGUAGUCCACGCCGUAAACGAUGAUAACUAGCUGUCCGGGCACUUGGUGCUUGGGUGGCGCAGCUAACGCAUUAAGUUAUCCGCCUGGGGAGUACGGUCGCAAGAUUA
Molecule: ribosomal RNA, 372 nt
Filed under: uncultured bacterium
Lineage: Bacteria
Description: bacterial SSU rRNA
Rfam family: Bacterial small subunit ribosomal RNA
Source: RNAcentral